UCGAGGCAUCACCAGUUGGUAAAUGUACGCUCUUUUAAGGCGUUGGUUCCGGGUUCAAGUCCCGGUCGACCCA
Molecule: transfer RNA, 73 nt
Filed under: Verrucomicrobiota bacterium
Lineage: Bacteria; Pseudomonadati; Verrucomicrobiota
Also listed under: 1 other name
Description: Verrucomicrobia bacterium tRNA-Lys
Rfam family: tRNA
About the family: Transfer RNA (tRNA) molecules are approximately 80 nucleotides in length.
Source: RNAcentral